UGCAUGUGGUGGAUGCCUUGGCGAUUACAGGCGAUGAAGGACGUGAUAGCCUGCGAAAAGCUUCGGGGAGCUGGCAAAUUAGCUUUGAUCCGGAGAUAUCCGAAUGGGGAAACCCACCCGCAAGGGUAUCGCAUACUGAAUACAUAGGUAUGCGAGGCGAACCGAGUGAACUGAAACAUCUAAGUAGCUCGAGGAAAAGACAUCAACCGAGAUUCCGAAAGUAGUGGCGAGCGAAAUCGGAGGAGCCUAGUCCUCUUUAGCAGUCGACUUAUCAAAACAGCUUGGAAACGCUGGCCAUAGUGGGUGAUAGCCCCGUAUGAGAAAAGUUGAUUGUGGAACUGAGUGGACGAUAAGUAGGGCGGGACACGAGAAAUCCUGUCUGAAGAUGGGGGGACCAUCCUCCAAGGCUAAAUACUCGUAAUCGACCGAUAGUGAACAAGUACCGUGAGGGAAAGGCGAAAAGAACCCCGGGAGGGGAGUGAAAUAGAUCCUGAAACCGCAUGCAUACAAAAAGUCGGAGCCUGGAAACGGGUGACGGCGUACCUUUUGUAUAAUGGGUCAGCGACUUACAUUCAGUGGCAAGCUUAACCGAAUAGGGAAGGCGAAGGGAAACCGAGUCCGAACAGGGCGUCGAGUCGCUGGGUGUAGACCCGAAACCAAGUGAUCUAUCCAUGGCCAGGAUGAAGGUGCGGUAACACGCACUGGAGGUCCGAACCGACUAGUGUUGCAAAACUAGCGGAUGAGCUGUGGAUAGGGGUGAAAGGCUAAACAAACUUGGAAAUAGCUGGUUCUCUCCGAAAACUAUUUAGGUAGUGCCUCAAGUAUUACCAUCGGGGGUAGAGCACUGUUUAGGCUAGGGGGUCAUGGCGACUUACCAAACCUAUGCAAACUCCGAAUACCGAUGAGUACAGCUUGGGAGACAGUGCACCGGGUGCUAACGUCCGGACACAAGAGGGAAACAACCCAGACCGCCAGCUAAGGUCCCUAAAAUUGGCUAAGUGGGAAACGAAGUGGGAAGGCUAAAACAGUCAGGAUGUUGGCUUAGAAGCAGCCACCAUUCAAAGAAAGCGUAAUAGCUCACUAGUCAAGCGACUCUGCGCCGAAAACGUACGGGGCUAAGCAUGAUACCGAAAUCGUAGAAUAUAUUUAUAUAUUGGUAGGGGAGCGUUGUGUUGUAGGUCGAAGUAUGAGCGUAAGCACAUAUGGACGAAGCACAAGUGAGACUGUCGGCUUAAGUAGCGAAAACAUUGGUGAGAAUCCAAUGCACCGAAAGACUAAGGGUUCCCACGCAAGGUUCGUCCACGUGGGGUUAGCCGGGAGCUAAGGCGAGGCCGAGAGGCGUAGCCGAUGCACAACGGGUUAAUAUUCCCGUGCCACUUAUUAUCCGCUAGGAGCUAAGUCGGGACGCAGGAGGCUAUACACAGGGGAGAGUUUGGUUUUCUCCCUCCAACAGCGUAGCUAGUCAGGGUAGGCAAAUCCGCCCUGGCGUUAUGACGUAAGGCCAAGUAAGAAAUACUCUACGGAGUAAAUUGUGUAGAUGCCACGCUGCCGAGAAAAGCGGCGAAAGCCAGGAUAAUGUGUGCUCGUACCCUAAACCGACACAGGUAGUCAGGUAGAGAAUACCAAGGUGCGCGAGAUAACUCUCUCUAAGGAACUCGGCAAAAUAACCUCGUAACUUCGGAAGAAGAGGUGCCAUGAUAGGGUGUAAGACUUCGCGUCUGAAGCCUGAGAUGGUCGCAGCGACGAGGCUCAAGCGACUGUUUAACAAAAACACAGGUCUCUGCUAAACCGUAAGGUGAUGUAUAGGGGCUGACUCCUGCCCAGUGCCGGAAGGUUAAGUGGAUCGGUUAGCGCAAGCGAAGCUGAAAAACAAAGCCCCGGUGAACGGCGGCCGUAACUAUAACGGUCCUAAGGUAGCGAAAUUCCUUGUCGGGUAAGUUCCGACCUGCACGAAUGGCGUAAUGAUGGCCACACUGUCUCCUCCAGAGACUCAGCGAAGUUGAAAUGUUUGUGAUGAUGCAAUCUCCCCGCGGAAAGACGGAAAGACCCCAUGAACCUUUACUGUAGCUUUACAUUGGACUUUGAACAGAUCUGUGUAGGAUAGGUGGGAGGCUUUGAAGUAAGGUCGCUAGAUCUUAUGGAGCCGACGUUGAAAUACCACCCUGGUGUGUUUGAGGUUCUAACCUUGUCCCGUUAUCCGGGAUGGGGACAGUGUAUGGUGGGCAGUUUGACUGGGGCGGUCUCCUCCCAAAGUGUAACGGAGGAGUUCGAAGGUACGCUAGGCACGGUCGGAAAUCGUGCUGAUAGUGCAUAGGCAUAAGCGUGCUUGACUGCGAGACUGACAAGUCGAGCAGGUAGGAAACUAGGACUAAGUGAUCCGGUGGUUCUGUAUGGAAGGGCCAUCGCUCAACGGAUAAAAGGUACUCUGGGGAUAACAGGCUGAUACCGCCCAAGAGUUCAUAUCGACGGCGGUGUUUGGCACCUCGAUGUCGGCUCAUCUCAUCCUGGGGCUGUAGCCGGUCCCAAGGGUAUGGCUGUUCGCCAUUUAAAGAGGUACGUGAGCUGGGUUUAAAACGUCGUGAGACAGUUUGGUCCCUAUCUUCCGUGGGCGCUGCAAGAUUGAGAGAGCCUGCUCCUAGUACGAGAGGACCGGAGUGGACACACCUCUGGUGUAUCGGUUGUCACGCCAGUGGCAUUGCCGAGUAGCUAAGUGUGGAAGAGAUAACCGCUGAAAGCAUCUAAGCGGGAAACUCGUCUCAAGAUGAGUCUUGCCGGGGCCUUGAGCCCCCUGAAGGGUCGUUCGAGACCAGGACGUUGAUAGGCUGGGUGUGGAAGCGCAGUAAUGCGUUAAGCUAACCAGUACUAAUUGCCCGUGAG
This 2877-nucleotide ribosomal RNA is filed under the name Labrus bergylta (ballan wrasse). RNAcentral describes it as "bacterial LSU rRNA". It matches the Rfam family "Bacterial large subunit ribosomal RNA". Lineage: Eukaryota; Metazoa; Chordata; Actinopteri; Labriformes; Labridae. The record is from RNAcentral.